UACGUAGGGGGCAAGCGUUGUCCGGAAUCAUUGGGCGUAAAGCGCGUGUAGGCGGCUGAGUAAGUCUGCUCUGAAAGCCCGGGGCUCAACCCCGGGAGGCGGGUGGAUACUGCUCAGCUCGAGUCCGGAAGAGGAGUGUGGAAUUCCUGGUGUAGCGGUGAAAUGCGCAGAUAUCUGGAGGAACACCGGUGGCGAAGGCGGCAUCCUGGACCAACACUGACACUGAGGAGCGAAAGCCAGGGGAGCAAACGGG
This 253-nucleotide ribosomal RNA is filed under the name uncultured bacterium. Its description in RNAcentral is "partial 16S ribosomal RNA". It matches the Rfam family "Bacterial small subunit ribosomal RNA", at positions 524 to 776 of the family's 1533-position model. The record is from RNAcentral.